RNAcentral lists this transfer RNA (74 nucleotides) under Neotoma lepida (desert woodrat). It matches the Rfam family "tRNA". Rfam says of the family: Transfer RNA (tRNA) molecules are approximately 80 nucleotides in length. Their secondary structure includes four short double-helical elements and three loops (D, anti-codon, and T loops). Lineage: Eukaryota; Metazoa; Chordata; Mammalia; Rodentia; Cricetidae. The record is from Rfam by way of RNAcentral.
UGGGUGUUGGCUCAAUGGGUAAGACUGCUUGUUCUGCAAGCAUGAGGACCUGGGUUCAAAUCCCAAGCAUCCAC